GCUUUCAAUUUUUGGACCACUCUAUUGUAUUGAAGUUGAAAUAUAUUUCUCCCAUGAAUCCUUACUAUGCCCUCUAUAAAUUAACAGAAUAAUCUCCAUCUUCCACGCGACAGCCCUCCCAACACUUUUUAAACUGUUAGCACGGGUGCCCACAGACCCUUGUUCCAGGUGUCUGCCUGAUUAAAAUCUUUUACACCUGUGCUGGUUUAUCUAUUGCCACUAUCAGGACAUUAAUUUAGGACCACCAUCAUUUCUCACCUGGGUUACUGCAAAAAAAGCCUCCNNNNNNNNNNNNNAAAUCUACACUUUCUCCUGCAAUGAAGUCAAAUGAACUCAUACUACACCUCUGUUCUAAACGCUUCACUUCUACAGAGCCCUUAGAUAAGAUACAGGACCCGUCAGGGUCCACCCUCUGCUCAGCUCUGUAGCUGUGUAUCUCUGCACUCCCUGGGGCACUGUGCUCCAAUCACCCUAGAUGGCCUGAGGCCCCCAAAUUUGCCCUCUCUGACCUCUCAUACAAGUGCACCCAAUGCCAGCCUACUUCUCACUCACUAAAAUCUGUUUACCCAGGACACCGUUCAUUUCCUGGGCUAGCUAGGAUGGCUCUUCCAUCUAUUCCCAUAGCAUCUUUUUUUUUUUUUCCCCUCCUACAGAAGUAAGAAUGUUAACAUCAAAAUACUGCUCAAGCUCCCCUUAAUGUGAUUUUUCAGGCCUGUUAUAUUGUCUGUGAGAAAUGUAUAUAGAUUUGAUUAAAUCAUUUUGGAUGUUUUCCCUUGACCAUUUUUUGCCAAUGUUUCCUUUAAAACGUGUUAGUCAGAUCUUAGCCCAAUCCCACCAUGUGGUAAGACUUCUGCAGGGUACAGUGAGGAAACUACAUCACUUGCUUCAAUUGCUUGCAAGUUGGUUUUAGCUUUAAUUUUUAAAUUUGUACAGUAGGAACAGUAUCACCUUCCUUUAAAGCUUUGAGGACUGAGGACUAAAUAAGGCAAUGAAUGCAGCAAUCGGCUCAAUCCUGGCAAACAGGAGGUGCUCAAAGAAUAACAACUAUUAUUUUAAUGGAGUACAGCAUUACCACAGUCUACCUGUCUUGGAAUCCUAUAAAAAGUAGUCUUCUUAUGCAUAAGAAAGAAAGGGAAAGGAUCGCAGAGUUCUGUUUUGGUGAAAUGAAAAUGCAGGGGCAGUUGACACCUCAGCUUCCUCUCUGUGUCCUGAAGGAUCAGAAACAGAAGGGGUUGGAAAAGUCAGUCACAGUGGCGGCGAGGGUCGUGGAAUUCCACAUGCCAGAGCAACACGGUACAUCUGGAGGACUGCUAGACACCGCAGCUCGUGAGCCACCGCUGUAUUUACAUAAAACAUCUACUUCAGCGGAACCCUGCAGCUCACGGAAUGCAAUCAAAAUAACAUCUGUUUACAUUUCCAGCAACUACUGUAUUUUGUCCUCUACUUCAAUAGCCUUCAGCAGAUGGGAGACUCCUUCAGAAAGGGCCCACUCUUGUUUUUGUAUCAUCCCAGACGGCUGCAAUCAAAUAUCCAUGGAUAAGGCAAUUAAGCAGAAGGCACCAUUAAUACAAAAUUUCAGGGUGUCCCAAAGAAAAUGUGUAAGUAGCACUGGCCCUACUUCCAAGUGUUCAGACAAAAAUUUCCAUGCUUCACACCCAGAAUCUCCAGCUCAUCCUUCUGAGACUCAGUCCAGACCUCGUGAGUCUCAGCAUUUCCAGUGGGAUAUUCUGACCAGAAAGCCUUCUGAAGCAGGGCUCAUUGCAGAGAGGGAAGCCACAGAUAGGAACCACUGGUGCAAAACCCUUCUGUUUAAGUCAGAAAUCCUCUUGUAGGGAAGGGAAGCUCUAAGUGCAAUGAAGUCGGACAUGGCCGUCAAGGAAACUCUGCGCCCACAGACCACACAGAAAGCUUUGCUCUUCAUCCAUGCCUCCUUCAUCUCUUGUCUGGACCACUGCAAGAGCCAUGGACCCUGACAUUCUGAUAGAAAGAGUGAUUUUCUUUUAAUCAACUGAAUUAGGUAACUUNNNNNNNNNNNNNNNNNNNNNNNNNNNNNNNNNNNNNNNNNNNNNNNNNNNNNNNNNNNNNNNNNNNNNNNNNNNNNNNNNNNNNNNNNNNNNNNNNNNAGAGUGAUUUUCUUUUAAUCAACUGAAUUAGGUAACUUCUUUAAAAUAUUCCAAUGACUCUACACUCCAAACUUGGCACACAAGACCCUGAAGUUCUGAUACUGCCCCAGCACCAUCCCAACCUCACACGUAUCCCCAGUUCUACCAUAAGCUUCAGCCUGCAGGCCUUUCCCUUUGAACUGUCCAAGCUCCAUAUCUCUCUUCUUGUUCCCAACAUUUUUCUCUUCAGGACCCUCAGGCAUGCUGCUUCUCCCACUAGGAACACUGUUAGGUUCCUGCUUUACUCCAAGCACAACACACACACACUCAGCUCAGUUCAGUUCAAUCACUCAGUCGUGUCCGACUCUUUGCAACCCCAUG
Molecule: long non-coding RNA, 2483 nt
Filed under: Capra hircus (goat)
Lineage: Eukaryota; Metazoa; Chordata; Mammalia; Artiodactyla; Bovidae
Description: lncRNA (ENSCHIG00010004825.1)
Source: RNAcentral